Molecule: ribosomal RNA, 484 nt
Filed under: uncultured bacterium
Lineage: Bacteria
Description: partial 16S ribosomal RNA
Rfam family: Bacterial small subunit ribosomal RNA
Source: RNAcentral
AUUGAACGCUGGCGGCAGGCCUAACACAUGCAAGUCGAGCGGAUGAAGGGAGCUUGCUCCUGGAUUCAGCGGCGGACGGGUGAGUAAUUCCUAGGAAUCUGCCUGGUAGUGGGGGAUAACGUCCGGAAACGGGCGCUAAUACCGCAUACGUCCUGAGGUAGAAAGUGUGGGAUCUUCGGACCUCACGCUAUCAGAUGAGCCUAGGUCGGAUUAGCUAGUUGGUGGGGUAAAGGCCUACCAAGGCGACGAUCCGUAACUGGUCUGAGAGGAUGAUCAGUCACACUGGAACUGAGACACGGUCCAGACUCCUACGGGAGGCAGCAGUGGGGAAUAUUGGACAAUGGGCGAAAGCCUGAUCCAGCCAUGCCGCGUGUGUGAAGAAGGUCUUCGGAUUGUAAAGCACUUUAAGUUGGGAGGAAGGGCAGUAAGUUAAUACCUUGCUGUUUUGACGUUACCAACAGAAUAAGCACCGGCUAACUUCGUG